This 274-nucleotide unclassified non-coding RNA is filed under the name fungal sp. RNAcentral describes it as "partial internal transcribed spacer region". The stretch from base 1 to 46 matches the Rfam family "Eukaryotic small subunit ribosomal RNA", at positions 1786 to 1831 of the family's 1831-position model. RNAcentral also lists the same sequence under 1 other name. Lineage: Eukaryota; Fungi. The record is from RNAcentral.
AAGUCGUAACAAGGUUUCCGUAGGUGAACCUGCGGAAGGAUCAUUAAUGUGAUUGCCCCAUCCCCCCCCAUUUUCUUGGGGGAGUAAAAUGGGUGCAAGCAUCCCAUCCUUGUGUUUUGUACCUCGUGUAUGUUUGGGGGGGGUCCACCCCUCCCAUUCAUUCGUUUUUUCCUCACACUCAUUUCUCUGAUCCGUCGUUAUUCACACACACACCUUUGUGGGUGUUGUUGUAUGUAACCAUCGAAAACUGCCAGCAAUGGAUCACUCGGUUCUC